UACGUAGGUGGCAAGCGUUGUCCGGAUUUACUGGGCGUAAAGGGCGUGCAGGCGGUCUGUUAAGUGCAGGGUGAAAGCUCCCGGCUCAACUGGGAGAGGUCCUUGCAUACUGGCGGACUUGAGGGGGGUAGAGGAAAGUGGAAUUCCACGUGUAGCGGUGAAAUGCGUAGAGAUGUGGAGGAACACCAGUGGCGAAGGCGACUCUUUGGCCUGUAACUGACACUGAGGCGCGAAAGCGUGGGGAGCAAACAGG
Molecule: ribosomal RNA, 253 nt
Filed under: uncultured bacterium
Lineage: Bacteria
Description: partial 16S ribosomal RNA
Rfam family: Bacterial small subunit ribosomal RNA
Source: RNAcentral